CUGCUGCCUUCCGUAGGAGUCUGGGCCGUGUCUCAGUCCCAGUGUGGGGGGCCUUCCUCUCAGAACCCCUACGCAUCGUCGCCACGGUGAGCCGUCACCCCGCCGUCUAGCUAAUGCGCCGCAUGCCCAUCCGCCACCGGAUCGCUCCUUUGGCCACCGGAGGAUGCCCUCCGGUGGCGUCACGGGGUAUUAGGCCGCGUUUCCGCGGGUUAUCCCCCUGUGGCGGCCAGGUUGCAUACGUGUUACUCACCCGUGCGCCGGUCG
RNAcentral lists this ribosomal RNA (264 nucleotides) under uncultured bacterium. RNAcentral describes it as "partial 16S ribosomal RNA". The record is from RNAcentral.